GACGAACGCUGGCGGCGUGCUUAACACAUGCAAGUCGAGCGGUAAGGCCCUUUCGGGGGUACACGAGCGGCGAACGGGUGAGUAACACGUGGGUGACCUGCCCUUACGCUCUGGGAGUAAAGCCUGGGAAACUGGGUCUAAUACCGGAUAUGACUCCAUGACGCAUGUUGUGGGGUGGAAAGCCUUGUGCGGCUAGGGAUGGGCCCGCGGCCUAUCAGCUUGUUGGUGGGGUGAUGGCCACCAAGGCGACGACGGUAGCCGGCCUGAGAGGGCGACCGGCCACACUGGGACUGA
RNAcentral lists this ribosomal RNA (294 nucleotides) under uncultured bacterium. Its description in RNAcentral is "partial 16S ribosomal RNA". It matches the Rfam family "Bacterial small subunit ribosomal RNA", at positions 28 to 322 of the family's 1533-position model. The record is from RNAcentral.